RNAcentral lists this ribosomal RNA (239 nucleotides) under uncultured bacterium. RNAcentral's name for it is "partial 16S ribosomal RNA". It matches the Rfam family "Bacterial small subunit ribosomal RNA", at positions 333 to 564 of the family's 1533-position model. The record is from RNAcentral.
CGACUCCUACGGGGCGCAGCAGUAGGGAAUCUUCCACAAUGGACGAAAGUCUGAUGGAGCAACGCCGCGUGAGUGAAGAAGGGUUUCGGCUCGUAAAGCUCUGUUGGUAGUGAAGAAAGAUAGAGGGAGUAACUGGCCUUUAUUUGACGGUAAUUAAUUAGAAAGUUACGGCUAACUACGUGCUAGCAGCCGCGGUAAUACGUAGGUGGCAAGCGUUGUCCGGAUUUAUUGGGCGUAAA